AGUUUGAUCUUGGCUCAGGAUGAACGCUGGCGGCGUGCCUAAUACAUGCAAGUCGAGCGAACAGACGAGGAGCUUGCUCCUCUGACGUUAGCGGCGGACGGGUGAGUAACACGUGGAUAACCUACCUAUAAGACUGGGAUAACUUCGGGAAACCGGAGCUAAUACCGGAUAAUAUAUUGAACCGCAUGGUUCAAUAGUGAAAGACGGUUUUGCUGUCACUUAUAGAUGGAUCCGCGCCGCAUUAGCUAGUUGGUAAGGUAACGGCUUACCAAGGCAACGAUGCGUAGCCGACCUGAGAGGGUGAUCGGCCACACUGGAACUGAGACACGGUCCAGACUCCUACGGGAGGCAGCAGUAGGGAAUCUUCCGCAAUGGGCGAAAGCCUGACGGAGCAACGCCGCGUGAGUGAUGAAGGUCUUCGGAUCGUAAAACUCUGUUAUUAGGGAAGAACAAAUGUGUAAGUAACUAUGCACGUCUUGACGGUACCUAAUCAGAAAGCCACGGCUAACUACGUGCCAGCA
RNAcentral lists this ribosomal RNA (521 nucleotides) under uncultured microorganism. RNAcentral's name for it is "bacterial SSU rRNA". It matches the Rfam family "Bacterial small subunit ribosomal RNA", at positions 10 to 513 of the family's 1533-position model. The record is from RNAcentral.